RNAcentral lists this ribosomal RNA (636 nucleotides) under uncultured Serratia sp. RNAcentral's name for it is "bacterial SSU rRNA". It matches the Rfam family "Bacterial small subunit ribosomal RNA", at positions 877 to 1515 of the family's 1533-position model. The record is from RNAcentral. Lineage: Bacteria; Pseudomonadati; Pseudomonadota; Gammaproteobacteria; Enterobacterales; Yersiniaceae.
GGAGUACGGCGCAAGGUUAAAACUCAAAUGAAUUGACGGGGGCCGCACAAGCGGUGGAGCAUGUGGUUUAAUUCGAUGCAACGCGAAGAACCUUACCUACUCUUGACAUCCAGAGAACUUUCCAGAGAUGGAUUGGUGCCUUCGGGAACUCUGAGACAGGUGCUGCAUGGCUGUCGUCAGCUCGUGUUGUGAAAUGUUGGGUUAAGUCCCGCAACGAGCGCAACCCUUAUCCUUUGUUGCCAGCGGUUCGGCCGGGAACUCAAAGGAGACUGCCAGUGAUAAACUGGAGGAAGGUGGGGAUGACGUCAAGUCAUCAUGGCCCUUACGAGUAGGGCUACACACGUGCUACAAUGGCAUAUACAAAGAGAAGCGACCUCGCGAGAGCAAGCGGACCUCAUAAAGUAUGUCGUAGUCCGGAUUGGAGUCUGCAACUCGACUCCAUGAAGUCGGAAUCGCUAGUAAUCGUAGAUCAGAAUGCUACGGUGAAUACGUUCCCGGGCCUUGUAUACACCGCCCGUCACACCAUGGGAGUGGGUUGCAAAAGAAGUAGGUAGCUUAACCUUCGGGAGGGCGCUUACCACUUUGUGAUUCAUGACUGGGGUGAAGUCGUAACAAGGUAACCAAGGGCGAAUUCUG